Molecule: ribosomal RNA, 517 nt
Filed under: uncultured bacterium
Lineage: Bacteria
Description: bacterial SSU rRNA
Rfam family: Bacterial small subunit ribosomal RNA
Source: RNAcentral
GAUGAACGCUAGCGAUAGGCCUAACACAUGCAAGUCGAGGGGCAUCACAUGAAGUAGCAAUACGGAUGGUGGCGACCGGCGCACGGGUGAGUAACACGUAUGCAACCUGCCUUCAACAAGGGGAUAACCCGUUGAAAGACGGACUAAUACCCUAUAACACAGGGGUCCCGCAUGGGAAUAUUUGUUAAAGGACAACCGGUUGAAGAUGGGCAUGCGUUCCAUUAGCUAGUUGGCGGGGUAACGGCCCACCAAGGCAACGAUGGAUAGGGGAACUGAGAGGUUUAUCCCCCACACUGGUACUGAGACACGGACCAGACUCCUACGGGAGGCAGCAGUGAGGAAUAUUGGUCAAUGGACGCAAGUCUGAACCAGCCACGUCGCGUGAAGGAAGACGGCCCUACGGGUUGUAAACUUCUUUUAACGGGGAAUAAAGUGCCCCACGCGUGGGGUUUUGCAUGUACCGUAUGAAUAAGGAUCGGCUAACUCCGUGCCAGCAGCCGCGGUAAGUACUGACUCA